CCUACGGGUGGCAGCAGUGGGGGAUAUUGCACAAUGGGGGAAACCCUGAUGCAGCGACGCCGCGUGUGGGAAGACGGUCCUCUGGAUUGUAAACCACUGUCCCCAGGGACGAAGAUGACGGUACCUGGGGAGGAAGCUCCGGCUAACUACGUGCCAGCAGCCGCGGUAAUACGUAGGGAGCGAGCGUUGUCCGGAAUUACUGGGUGUAAAGGGAGCGUAGGCGGGGAUGCAAGUUGGGUGUCAAAACUACCGGCUCAACUGGUAGUCGCACUCAAAACUGCAGCUCUUGAGUGAAGUGGAGGCAGGCGGAAGUCCGAGGUGAGCGGUGGAAUGCGGAGAUAUUAGGAGGGACAGCAGUGGCGAAGGUGGGCUGCUGGGCUUUUACUGACGCUGAGGCUCGAAAGUGGGGGGAGCAAACAGGAGUAGAUACCCGAGUAGUC
RNAcentral lists this ribosomal RNA (440 nucleotides) under uncultured bacterium. RNAcentral describes it as "partial 16S ribosomal RNA". It matches the Rfam family "Bacterial small subunit ribosomal RNA", at positions 338 to 795 of the family's 1533-position model. The record is from RNAcentral.